RNAcentral lists this long non-coding RNA (4430 nucleotides) under Pelobates cultripes (western spadefoot toad). The record is from RNAcentral. Lineage: Eukaryota; Metazoa; Chordata; Amphibia; Anura; Pelobatidae.
GGACUUUCUUAUAUACAUUGUUUCCCAAAAGGUUACCACCCACGUGGACCUUGUGGUACACAGGACACAAAGUUACAACAGCCAAUCAACAUAGUACAGUACAGUCAGACACUCCCAGCUAAGGCACACAAUACCCUCCCAUAACCCUCCCAUAAGUCAUAUAAUACAAUGUUUAACCUAUAUGUCCAACAUAUCCCCAGAUAGCUUGGAUCUGAGCUCUCAAUAUGUCCGAAAAGCGCUCAUAUGCCACGAAUACAGUUGGAUCGCCAUGGGGUUAAACAAUAGAAAGGGCUGAUGAGAGAAUGAGGAGGGACAAGGCAGCCAGUUUCAACUCGUCUGGCAGUGUACCUGAGACAAUGCCCCGCUGAAGAACAAUAGGACAGGAAAACGGGUAGUGGAAGAGGAAGAGGCACAUUUUCACAUGGAAUUAAAGGGGCAGAAAAAGUGUUUUAAAAAUCCAAUAAGCCCAAAUAGACUUUUUAAAUGGCAAUACACCCCAGGGGCCAUAAUCACAGGGCAGGAGGCUGGCAAGCAGGCCUCUCCAAAAACUCAUGGCAAACUCCCUUAAAAAGGAGAGUUUGUCACAAUGGUUAUGUACCAAUAUAUCAGUAUGACAAUUUGCACAGUUCUUUUCCCUUUUAGACAUGGCUAGAUUUCAUUUGACUUUUUAUUUUGUAUUCUUUAUACAAAUAACCAAAAACAGUGUAUUUGUUCAUUUGUAUUCCUUUCUCUGUUAUACCCACUGUAUAUAACAAAAUAGUUAGUACAUAUGACACAUGAAGGCUAUUUCCAUGUGAUAUAUGAUUUAGAUUUGCCAAGUUUGGUGGAAAUGUAGUGAAUUAUUUGAAUGAACACAUCUCAUUGUGUACAACCAUGUGCUUGGUUCAAUUUCACCUCCAGAAUAGAGUAUCAACAUUCUUAAUUUCAUGUACUUUUCCAAAAUGGUAUGUAGUCCGUAAAUCCUCAUGCACCUCAUUUAUAUUCUAGGAAUGAUUAAAAGCCAGUAGAGAACAUAUUUAUCAUUCAUGUAAUGUGGGCUGAAAAUGUCAACUCACCCUCUCCUUCCAAAUAGUAUAGGACGUUUCAGUAGAUGGUGCCAUUGACUGAAUGAGCUCUGCCAUAUCACUGGUAGCAAUUAUAUUAGAAUUCCAGUGUGAUAGAGAUUGCUAUAGCACUUUUUAAAUACCUUUAUUUUAGGAAUAGAUGAUUUAACUAUAUUUAUACAUUAUUUUACAUUCUGUUGCUACCUUUGGUAAGAUGUACUGCUAGUAAUUUAUUCAAGUAACCUAAUGCUGGCCAUGAUAGAAAGGAGCCAGAACUGUUAUUGUACACACCAGCUGAUGACCCCUGUCAACCGCUGAAAGUUACUUCAUGGAAUAGGUGAGCUUCAGAACGGAUCAUCGAGGAAUGGAAUAAGGUUGCCUGGUCUGAUGAAUCAUGUUUUCUUUUAGAUCAGGUGGAUUGCCAGGUGCGUGUAUUGUUUACCUUGGGAAGAUAUGGCAGCAGGAUGCACUAUGGAAAGAAGGUCGGCAGUGACAGUGUUAUGCUCUAGGGUUAGGCAAUAUUUUGCUGGCAAAUCUUGGGUCCUGGUAUUCUUGUGUCUGGCUUUUUUUCUCUGGAUAAAAAGUGAGUAAAUUGUUUUAUUUUUAUGUAAUUUUUUUCUUUUAUACGGGGUGUGCAACCUAAUUGAUUAGGGGAAUCAGGGUUGUACCGUUAGGAAUACAGAUAUCUAUUUCUAAUGUUACAGUGUUCCUUUAUGUUUUUAGCAGUUUCAGUUACAGUAGCUCCUUAGGAACAUCAAUGAACCUUGAGUGCCCAUGACCCUAACACCAGUUCACUGUUUGCCCUUCCUUGCACCACUUUUGGUAGUUACUAACCACGGCAUGUUGGGAACAUGCACACAAGACUUGCUGUUUUGGAGAUGCUCUGACCCAGUCUUUUCGCUUGCUCAUUGUCACGACAGUGACCCCUUCACACAGAUGGUAACCCAGAAAGGGACGUAUACCGGACCUUAGGGUGGCCGGACUUAACGUCAAAGAAUAGUCAAGAAAAAGCCGAGGAUCAAGGGUGUACGGAAAUCGGGAUAAACGAGAAAGCCAAGCCAAAAGUCGAGGAGCCAGAUAGGAGAAUAGUCAGAACGAAAGCCAAGGGUCAAAAUACCAGAAGAACAGAUAAUACAGUAUAAGAGCACUAGGGGAACAAUCAAGAACCACACUAGGGCACUGAGGGGUGGACAGGGAUGCCCUUUUAUACUAAUGUGUGUGUCACUUUAAAGCCACGCCCCCAAAAGGUUCGGGAGCGUGACCGCGUUUUAAUUUUCGCAGCAAAAUCAUUAUGACAUCGGCGCGCAUGCACCGCGUCAUAAAACGGAUUUCGCCGCGAGCGGGCAGCGUCCAAGAGGCUGCGCCGCCCCCGGAAGCAGCCGGGCAAACCGCCGUGCCGCGCGGGAUCGGCGGACACAGGUAAGGUAUCGUUACACUCAUGCUUUUAGCUCAUGAAAUUCAAGAACUGACUGUCACUUGCUGCCUAAUAUAUCCCACCCCAUGACACGUGCCAUUGUAAGGAUAUAAUCAAUGUUAUUCACUUUACCUGUCAGUGGUUUUAAUGUUGUGACUGAUCAGUGUACAUGAAAUUCACGUAUAUUGUGAUAUACCUGUUUAAAAAGUGGCCAAUUCAGUGUAUGACACGUUUGCUAUGACUGCUCUGCUGGGUAUACUGUAAAAUCCAGGUUAACUUGGUAACUUUGGGGGUACCAUGUAUGUCAUUAUUUAUUUUAUGUUUAAUUUACGUUUAAGUGAAUAAAUAAUAAACCAUUUAGAAUUAUCACGUCUUUAAAAGAGAUAACAGGAAAUUAAUUUAUUAAAACUACAAUACAAAAUUUCAUAAUUUUGGAGAAAUAGAAAAAAUAUGUUUCUGAGUUUUAUUUGGUGUUUUUUCUAAUUCCCCUUAACCUAGUGCUACUUACAGUCUGUUAUCUGCUGAGAUCAAAACUUGUUUUUUUGCUUACCAGCGAUACUUAUUUUCUCUUGUAAACAGAUUCCAUUUUAAUCUGUGAAAUCCCUUACAUCAAGCAUGUCAAACUCAAAGGCUAACUCGGAACAAAAAAACAAGGUUUAAGUUUAUGUGGGCCGCAAAAAAUAAAAAAAAGUUUGACCUAGACAAAGACAAACUAAAAUUACAUGUAUAGUUCUCAUGUAAACAGUAUGUAAUCCUGGGUACAUAUAUAUAUAAUUCACUCAAAAGCUUCACCAAGUUACUUACUAUCUUUGUAAUAGUGCCACCAUCUGGCAUGUCCACUUUGCUCGCUCCCUCAGUCCCUCUGCAAUCUCCAGGCAGAGUAAUGUGUGGCUGCACACUCCAUUCCACUUGCUUCUAUCCUCCUUCCAUCCAUAUCUCUGUUCCCCUCCUUUCCAUCCAUGUCUCUGUUCUCCUCCCUUCCAUCCAUGCCUGCUUCCCUCCAUCUCUCCCUCCCUUCCAUAUCUCUCCCUCCCAUAUCUCUCCCCAUAUCUCUCCCUCCCAUAUCUCUCCCCCAUAUCUCUCCCUCCCUUCCAUAUCUCUCCCCCACAUCUCUCCCUCCCUUCCAUACCUCUCCCCCACAUCUCUGCUUCCUUUCCAUAUCUCUCCUCCACGUCUCUCCCUCCUUUCCUUGGCUCUCCCUUCCAUAUCUAACCCCGAUGUCUCAAUCCCCCUUUCAUCUAUGUCUACCCCACCCAUUCCAUCCAAGUCUCUCUCCCCCCAUUCCAUCCAAGUCUCUCUCUCCACCCCAUCUAUAUCUCUCUCCCCCACCCUUCAAUUCAUAUAUCCCCUCACAUUCAAAUCUCCCUAUCGCUCUUCCAUCCCUGUCUCCCUCACGCAUGUCUCCCUUCCUACAACUUCCAUUUAUAUCUCCCUCCUCCUGCUCUGGUAGGCAGCUGUUUUUCACAGAGCUGGCACCAGAGGUGAUGGAAGCACAGGUUUGGCGCUGCCUUGUUGAUAGAUGGCGUACGUUGUCAUACUGAGUGACGGGUAGUCACGUGACACCCUGCGCUCCUAUGCAGAGUGGGUGGGGGUGGUACUCCCCCCAGUGUUCUGUGCGUGCGGUUUCUUUAUGAAGCCAAAUGCUGCCUGGCGGCACAGGAAGCACAGGCCGAGGAGGAUGCAAAAAUCACUUGUCAGUUUGACAAAUGAUUGUUGCACCCCCCUGAUUGGCUGAGCCGCAAAUACAUUCUUUGUGGGCCCCAUGCAGCACGCAGGCUGCGAGUUUGACAUGCUUGCAUUACAUCAACAUUUUAAAGUAACGUGUGCAUUUGUUUUUGUAUUUAUAUAAUAGCCGGUAAUACUGCAUGUGUGAUUAUAUUGACUUAUAUUUUGUUAACUCGAGGGCAGAUAUUAAGGUAGAAAGAACAAAGAGUAUUGCUUUACAUUGCAUAAAGAUAAUAUUAUGAUUUAUG